GAUGAACGCUGGCGGCGUGCCUAAUACAUGCAAGUCGAGCGAACGGACGAGAAGCUUGCUUCUCUGAUGUUAGCGGCGGACGGGUGAGUAACACGUGGAUAACCUACCUAUAAGACUGGGAUAACUUCGGGAAACCGUAGCUAAUACCGGAUAAUAUUUUGAACCGCAUGGUUCAAAAGUGAAAGACGGUCUUGCUGUCACUUAUAGAUGGAUCCGCGCUGCAUUAGCUAGUUGGUAAGGUAACGGCUUACCAAGGCAACGAUGCAUAGCCGACCGGAGAGGGUGAUCGGCCACCCGAGAAGUGGGACACGGUCAAGACGCCUAAGAGAGGCAGCAGUAGGGAAUCUUCCGCAAUGGGCGAAAGCCUGACGGAGCAACGCCGCGUGAGUGAUGAAGGUCUUCGGAUCGUAAAACUCUGUUAUUAGGGAAGAACAUAUGUGUAAGUAACUGUGCACAUCUUGACGGUACCUAAUCAGAAAGCCACGGCUAACUACGUG
Molecule: ribosomal RNA, 497 nt
Filed under: uncultured bacterium
Lineage: Bacteria
Description: partial 16S ribosomal RNA
Rfam family: Bacterial small subunit ribosomal RNA
Source: RNAcentral